Long non-coding RNA from Malus domestica (apple), 2395 nucleotides. RefSeq lists it as uncharacterized. Lineage: Eukaryota; Viridiplantae; Streptophyta; Magnoliopsida; Rosales; Rosaceae. The record is from RefSeq and is a predicted model, not a curated record.
CAUAUUCCAAGCAUAUAUAUGUGUGUGUGUAUAUAUGUAUGUAUAUGCAAAUAUUGGAAGAUUAGUUGGCUGGAUGAUGGAUUGCAAAAUGUUUGCCACUGCAAUUUGGAAUUUCCAUUUCUCAUUUUGUUUUAAUUUUUAUAAUAGUUUUAUUAGUUUAACCAUAUUAGUAAUUUCAGUUUUGCUUUUUAAAUGGAUUAAUGGGUUUCCUACUUUGCUUGACAUCAAAGUUCUUAACUACAUAACUAGAUUACCGAAAAUAAGACUUGAAUUUGAGUCUUCAUCCCUCGUACCGAAAAAUGACUUAAAUUUCACCUUUUUCUGUUGAUUAAUGUCAUAACUUAUGUGCUUUAGCUUUUCGUUCUGAUUCUUCAUAUUGGCGAAGAUAUUGUUUCUUCUUUGUCGUAAUCCUCUUUUUGUAUCACCUUAUUCCUUGAAAUAAAAUGAAGUGUCAACUCUAGGACAAGUAAAAAUUGGUGCAUGCUAGUGAUAUCUCUGGACAGUAGCUGACAAUGAGUGAAUCACCAGAUAGUGGCAAAUUGCAAAUGAAUAAUAUCAGCCAUACAACAGUCACAUUUAUUUUGUGUAUCUAAUUGUUGAUCCACACACAUAUACACAAGGUUGUUCAUAAGAUUGUUGCAUAUAAUUUGUUACUUGCUCAAUUUAAAUAUACAUUGUCCGUACUUGUUUUGAAAUUAAAAAUGUUGGUAACCUACUUAUUACUUUGGCUGCUAAUUGAUUAGUUUCUAAUGUUAUAAUUUUAUGGUUCAAAAAGUUUAUAGAUGUCGCAUUUGAUCACUCGUCGUCGGGGUGUGACCAAUGCACCUCCCACAUUAUCAGCAUCUACUGCUCCAUGCGUGAGUGCUCCAUUGAAUGGGGAGCCUACUCCCUUUAUUGAGGCUACUCCUACGGCGUCCCAGGUGCCUGUCUCAUCGACGUCAUUAGUGUCCGUUCACCCGCUCAGUGCACGGAGGCCUCACCGGCGCCGCCGCGAGCCGGACCCUUCUGAUCACACUUCCUCAGCAUCCAGAGUUGAGGGUGAGGCCUCCCAGCCAGGUAGUUUUUUUUCUAAUUCUCGAUCACUACGUUGUAUUUUUUUUUUCAUUUUAAAAUUAUUAUUUUUAUGAUGCUGAAAAUUUGCUGGAUUGUGAAAAUGUGUUGUGGGUUGUGAAUUACUGUUAUUUUAAUAUUUUAAGGUUUUGGGAAAUGCUAUAAUAUUAGGGGAAGUUAUGUCGAAUUUUCUGUGCAAAUUUAAGCUUAGGGUUUUCACCAUUUAAGUAUUUUUGGCCAGCUAAAAAAAAUUAGGGGGCCUAGUCGAAUGCUGAAGCUAGCACAGAGUGUACGUCUGACUGGCUCCAAGAUCAAGAUUUAGUAUGACCUGGUACAUCGUGGAGCUGCUACAGCACCACAGCAUAGCAUCGUCGUUAGUAGAUGUGGUGUUGUUAUUAAACAAAAUUGUCCUAUGUAGUGGGAGAAGUGGGCAGAAAUUCCCUAUAGGACGAAGGAUUUGGUGCGAGACAAGUUGUCGGUCAUUUUUUAUCUUGAUGAUAUAUCCCCCAAGGUCAAGGCCUACUUAGAUGAGACCUUAGUAACCCGGUACAAACAUUGGAAGAACUAUCUUCACAUGCAUUUUAAGCUAUGGGAUACUCCGGAGAUUGCUUGCCUAAGUGGUUGCCCAAGUGAGUUGAAGGACGGGGCAGAGGAUUGGGAGUGGCUCUGCAAACAUUUUACGGUCCAAAAUUUGUGAAGAAAUAUGUUGCUGGCAAGAUAGCUCGGGAGUCAAAGACACUUCUUCACCAUUUCGGUUUGAAGCCCUUUUCGUAUAGGCUUGAGGUACGACGUCAGGAGGGUUCUAAGUUCCCAGAGAUCGACAUGUUCGAGGACGUUUACGUUCGACCUGGAGAUGCGAACACUAAGCAUCUUCAUCGCACUGCUGUUAUCCAAGAAGCAACAUCGCAGCUUCCCCCUGAGACCCCGAUUGAGGACGUCCCGGUACCCGAGGAUGCAAGUUUUCAGAUCCUGACUGAUGUCCUGGAUUAGAACCUCGGUCGUCGUCACAGCAAGGUUGUUUGGGGCAUGGGGAAAGCACGAGUUCGUGAGACUAGUGCCUCUUCUUCCAGAUCGAACACCGCAGAGGUCGAUUCAUUGAAGGAGCAAGUAACAACCCUACAGGGUCAGCUUCAGGUCCAGGGCGAGCAGCUGCAGGCCUAUGUUGGCCACAUGAGAGACCUUGUACGAGCCAUACAGAUGACUGGCCUCCAAAUCUCGCUACCAAUGCCUAAUCUUGCUACACCUUCGACUUUCGAGCCACUUCACCCUACUGAUACCUAGUAGCCAUUUCACCAAGAAGAUUACUUGUAGUUUUUUUCUUUUUCAUUCAGACAUAUACAAUACA